Molecule: long non-coding RNA, 1267 nt
Organism: Ornithodoros turicata
Lineage: Eukaryota; Metazoa; Arthropoda; Arachnida; Ixodida; Argasidae
Exons: 4
Source: RefSeq, a predicted model, not a curated record
AAACGGCUGGAUCACACAUGUAAUGUCGAGCCGUAUCGCCACCGGUCGUCGGUCUUUAAAGGGUCCCUGACCAGUCACCCCGCCUUACCUUGGGUCUUUUGUUAUUAUUGAAGUACAUACAGACCCCAUGAACCACGCGAGGUGCCAUGAGUCAACGGUGAAGAAAACAAUUAAAACCACGGCCCUGAAAAUUGGUUCCGGUUUUCCCCCUCAACUCGGCAGAUCUCUAGCCUGCUGCAAGUGUUCUUCCAUGCAGGCUUCCAUAGUGUGACGUCGAGACGUACUUGACUGCACUCUCGUCACAGCGAACCCAACGCAGGGAAACUUACUCUCGCACCCAUUCGUGUUUGUUGUGUUUGUUACUCUGACAAAACGGCUGCCGAAGGGAGCGAUCUUUUCGACAACCUAUCUUCGAAGGAAAGGCAAAUUUUGUUACGGGCGGCGGAAUUUGGAAGCCUCGCCUUCGAAACGUCGCCGGCUCCGCGAGCUCAACGGGACGAGCAUGUUGACGCGGCAGCGUGCGGGAGCAGCAGCCGCCUGAAUUCCACAGACUGGUGCCGUUGUGGGUCAUGCGUCGCCAUGCCCACUAAAGAAGAGUGCCUCUGCUGUAAGGAGCUCCAGGGCACCGCUGAGCCACUGAGCUUCUCGUGUAUCACGGAGCACGAAGAUUUCAAAUUAUUAUGCCUCAACGAAACCGUGCUUAAGGUGGCGUACUUUGAACUUCGGGGCCAGCGGGAACCGAUGAGCGCACAUAUUCACAAUACACAGCGUACCGCCAGUUCGUGAGGUGGGUGUGGCACAAGCUUGGAAAAAACAAGUGCAUGGUGAUUCCAGCUUGUGCUGUGAACACCAUUCGCGAAGCCUUUCCAUCAGAGUCAAGGACAGGCUUCAGAUAUGCAAGGUACUAAGCAAGGUGUCACGCUACUAAUUCCUGACAGUAUGCUCCCAACCAUGCACUAAAACUGGAGCGAGACCACCAAGCGAUGACACUGGAUGAUGGACUGCUACAAGUGUGCUGCAGUCAUGGCAAGAACUGUUUGCAGUGUGCUCGUAAAGCAGUGUUGGGGAUUGGACUGGUACAAAUUGGACUCAAAUCUCAACAGGAAUGAAGGUAGAGCAAAAUGAAAUCGGGGCUGGAUUUAAAAUUGUAAUGACAAUUAUUUUAGCUACUAGCAAUUCGGAGGCGAGUACGGAUUGCUUACGCUGGAAGGGACGUAAAGCCGUAUGUGAGAUUUCACGCGCGUUAAAGAACCCUGAGGUGGGCAGA